CGGGGGGCAGCAGCAGUGAGGAAUAUUGCACAAUGGGGGGAACCCUGAUGCAGCAACGCCGCGUGGAGGAUGACGCAUUUCGGUGUGUAAACUCCUUUUAUAUGUCAAGAAAAUGACGGUAGCAUAUGAAUAAGCGCCGGCUAACUCCGUGCCAGCAGCCGCGGUAAUACGGAGGGCGCAAGCGUUACUCGGAAUCACUGGGCGUAAAGGACGCGUAGGCGGGUUGAAAAGUCAGGUGUGAAAGCCUACAGCUUAACUGUAGAACUGCACUUGAAACUCUCAACCUAGAGUAUGGGAGGGGCAGAUGGAAUUAGUGGCGUAGGGGUAAAAUCCGUAGAUAUCACUAGGAAUACCUAAAGCGAAGGCGAUCUCCUGGAACAUUACUGACGCUAAGGCGUGAAAGCGUGGGGAGCAAACAGGAUUAGAUACCCGGGUAGUC
This 439-nucleotide ribosomal RNA is filed under the name uncultured bacterium. RNAcentral's name for it is "partial 16S ribosomal RNA". It matches the Rfam family "Bacterial small subunit ribosomal RNA", at positions 339 to 795 of the family's 1533-position model. The record is from RNAcentral.